UUGUUUGGACAUUUGUUAGUUUCUAAUAUUUUAUUUAUUAUUUUUUUUUAAUAUUGUAAAGAUGGAAAAAGUAAUUACUAUGCGAGAGAUAAUAACGAAUACCAGAAAAAUAAAAUUACAUGAGAAUUUCUUAGAAGACUGUAAUUUAAAAGAUAUAUUUUACAACGGAUUAGAAACUGUCAACUGUGGUUAUAAUGAUUAUGUAAAUGUAAAAGCAUGGCUGUUUGUUAUAUCCGAAAAGCUAUUUUCAAGUGAUUCAGAAGAAUUGGCAUAUGUUGCAUGUGAUGCAUUAAAGUUGUUACUAUGUAAUGCAAAAUUUUUAAAUGUUAUUGUAUAUAAAUUAUUAAAAAAAAAAUUAGAGAAAUAUAUAUUAAGAAUAAUGGGUAUAUGUUGUUUAACUGUUGCUUCACGAAUGCAACAAAUAAAUGAAACGACUUGUUUUAAAGAAAUUUUAGAAAUAUCAUAUUUAAAAGAUAAAUUAAAUGAAUAUAACAUAAGACAAAUUGAAAUGGAUGUUUUUGUAUCUUUAGCACAUUCAGGAUUUUGUUUUGAAAAAAUCAUAACUCCAGUUAACGAAUUAAAUCAUAUUGCAGAAUUUUUAGAAACAUAUGAAAGUUUAUUUGAAAAUGGGGAUUUUGCUUUAUUUAAGUCUUCAAGCAUUUUAAUGUUAAAAAUUAUAUAUUGUAUGGUCCCUGUAUUUAAUAUGAACAUAUAUAAUUAUUCAGUUGUUAAUUAUGUUUUAAAAUUAUUUAUAAAAAAUAAUGAUGCAUAUAAUUAUGUAUUCCAAAUUUUAAAAAAUCAUUACAGUGAUAAAGAAAUUAUUGAUUUAUCAAACUUUCAAAAUCAUAUGUUUAAUAUAAUUAAUGCAUUUAAAAAUACCGACAUAUUUGCAGCAAAGGAUUCAAUUCUAAAAAACCCAGUGGAUAUUGACUUGUUUGAAAAAAUUAACACAAGAAUAGAAAUGGAAUGGUUUCAUGGAAGUUCGAAAGAAAAAAUGCAAUUGCAAGCGUGAACGAUUAAGUUAUAAGCAUGAAAAAAACAAAAAUUAGGUCGUGAAAGAGUGAUUUAUAAUAUGAAAGAACUACAUCCGUAUGUAUUCUAUAAAGCAUAUAAUAGUGCAUAACAUAAAGAGACGGUGUGAAAAAAAAAAAAAAAAAAAAA
RNAcentral lists this long non-coding RNA (1161 nucleotides) under Piliocolobus tephrosceles (Ugandan red Colobus). RNAcentral's name for it is "lncRNA (ENSPTEG00000005269.1)". The record is from RNAcentral. Lineage: Eukaryota; Metazoa; Chordata; Mammalia; Primates; Cercopithecidae.